GGAGCUACCCCUCGGCCGCCUUCCAGCUGGGGAGCCGGCUGGAGCGCGGGCUGCCCUCCUCCUCCGCUGACAAAGGGCUAGCAGCGUGGGAGCUGGCAGGGCUUCUGCAAGCCCUCUGCUCCCACCCUGGCCCCAUUUCACAGACGAGGAAACAAAGGCCCAAAGAAGAGUUCCGCCCGGGACGGAACGUGGCAUAGCUCGCAACAGAACCCAGUCUCCGGAGAUCCCUCUCCUCUGCACCACUUGGACGUUCCACGGAGAGGCAGCGGUGCGCGGGGCGACGGGGAGCUGCCAGAGAAGCAGUGGGGAGCCAUGGAAAGUUUCUGAACAGAGAAGCACUUAUUGGGAACUGUCAGAGCUAUGCUUCAGGAGAUGAAUCUGGCAACAACGUGGGUUAAUAUUAAUGCCCUGUACAUCCUGAGUACAUGUUUCCAGAAAGAGGUGAUCCAGGAGGCUGCCAAGUGGCCUGCAGGUGACAUCCAGAGGGCAGAAAAUGCCCAUGCAGGUCCACGUGUGGGUCCUUAAGCCCCUUGAGGAAAAGGGAGGAGAAAAGGACAAAGAAGGCUCUCCCUUUCCCUUGGAUCCCCUUCUACUCCCACGUGCCCACACUCCUGUUCUUUAGAAGAAAGGGACGGCAGGAGUCUGAUCAUCUGUCCGAUGCCCACACAGUGGCUGUGCUGAGUGACGUGUUGUUUUGAGGAUGUCCCUACCCCCUGGUCUUGCCGUCGGUCUCCAGUACCCAGCGAAGCAAGCUGUGGGCUCUGAGGAGCUCACACCAGGGAGGAGCUGCCCUGGAGUGGAGCAACAGCAUGUCCUCUCCCCUGUGUGACUGCAGUGCUAUAAUAAUAAUAACAGAAAGCUGGCAUUUCUUGAGCUCUUACUGUGUGCCAGAGACACCGCUCUAAGUGCUUACACAUAUGUAUUCGUUUUCUGUAGUUGCUGUAACAAAUUAUCACAAACUUUAAACAUUGAACUUAUG
This 979-nucleotide long non-coding RNA is filed under the name Homo sapiens (human). RNAcentral's name for it is "long non-coding RNA NONHSAT159756.1". Lineage: Eukaryota; Metazoa; Chordata; Mammalia; Primates; Hominidae. The record is from RNAcentral.